GGUUUUGUGACAUCAGUUUGUAGUUUUUGGUAGCUGAAGUUUUCUAUAGUAACUAUGUACUAUGCUGUUUCAAUACAGAAUGUUGUAAUGAGAUGUAAUUGAGAUGGAUCAGCUAAUUUUCCUGAUUUAAAUUUUCUCCCACAAGUUUAUUUUUUAAUUUGAGAGGCCUUCAAGCUUUCUGUAUCCUAAGUACAUUGGGAUGUCAGCAUGUGUAGAGGUCUUUUUGGCUGUGAGGAGCAUCUACACAGUUAUGCUAAGGACCAGAUGUUCAAAAACAUGAAGAAGUGCAGCAGUGCUCAGGUGAAAGGACUGACAGCCUUUGACAGGAUUAAAUGUCAUUCAGUCAAACAGUCAGUAAGUGAGGCAGCCAGUCAGUUGUUUUGUCCCGGUGUGGCUAAAGCAUUAUCUCCGGGGCUUCGCCACGCUGUUCCUUAAGCGUUCCGACAUCCUUUCCCAACCGCCGCCACUUCCCACUGGGAAAUUGAAAAUGCCGCAGUCGCCGCAGGCAACAAGAUUUAUCUACUUACACACCUACUGAGUGAGACAGAAAGAGAAGGAGAGGGAGAUCUAAGCCUGUAAAGAAGUCUGUGUUUUGUUUUUGUACACUAAACAAGUUGGCAUCAUAUGUCAGUUCUUUCAAAUUAGAAAGACAGAGUAUUUGGCCCCGUGUUUGUUCAAAACCUGACCUUUAAAGAAAGCGAGGCA
This is a long non-coding RNA of Acanthopagrus latus (yellowfin seabream), 705 nucleotides long. RefSeq lists it as uncharacterized. The transcript has 3 exons. The record is from RefSeq and is a predicted model, not a curated record. NCBI's taxonomy places the organism in Eukaryota, Metazoa, Chordata, Actinopteri, Spariformes, Sparidae.